Molecule: long non-coding RNA, 2061 nt
Organism: Nannospalax galili (Upper Galilee mountains blind mole rat)
Lineage: Eukaryota; Metazoa; Chordata; Mammalia; Rodentia; Spalacidae
Exons: 5
Source: RefSeq, a predicted model, not a curated record
UUGUAUUAUGGAUUCAUUGUCAUUAUCCACACUCGGUUUUAAUUUUGAAUAGCACCUUGCAACUUCUGAAACAUCUUCAGAACUAUGAGAUCUUGCACAGAACUCUAUAAAACGGUUUUGAAAACAAAUUUGACAAAUAAGGAAGUCAAUUAUGAUGGAUUUUCAGAGGUGGUAGAUCUUCAGUGGGGUAGGAAUAAUAUGAAAGAAAGAUAAUAAGCUAAAAUCAAUAGCAUCUAUAGAGUAUCUAAAAAUCAUAGAUGACAACAAUCUCAGGACAAUCAGGUGAUGUGAAGGAGACAUGUCCAGACUUGGCUGAGUUGGGUGCAGACUCAUGAAUGCACUGGUGAAAUGGGGUGGGAAAGGCUGGUCUUCACCUUGGUGCAUCUAGGUAGUAACGGAAAAGGCACUCUCUGCUCAACACAGGGCAAAUAGCCAGCAGUUCAAACAAUUUAGGAGUAGUUAAUAUUUGUAGCUGUUCUGGCGGAGGUGCCAGAGUUAAAUGAGUACCUUCCAAACAGGGAAUUGAUUAGAAGUAGGUUAUACAAGCUCCAUUUUAGGAAAGAAAGCACGUAUGUCUCACAUGCCUUGGAGUUGUUCAUUCGGAUCACUUCGUAAAAUCAAAGUAUUUUAUUUAAAUGACUUUCAGAAAAUGUGCACACCACAUAUUUAUUAGCAUUUCAUGGAUAUCUAGAACACUCGCAGAUGCUGUCUUCCUUGACUCAUCAAUCCUGUGAGGCAGGCUGUUGGUUUAUGCACCCUCCAGAUGAACAGUGCAGCCUUCAGAGACUGGCUGAGUCGCCCCAGAUCAUUCAGCUUCCCCCUGGGUUCUAAACCGCAGUCACGUCCUCUUUCUACUGGACUAUUUCAGGAAAACAUGAAGGGCACUUUCUUGGCUCACUGCCUCUGUAGCAGCCUUCUUGGCAAAAGAAGUUUCAGUGAAGGGUUCCUGCCUGGUAUAAAGAGUUAAACAUUUAGACCAGAGCCUUUCUUUGUAAGAUACUGACGGGAUGAUCGCAGUGCUGAGAGGGAAUCCAGGACUUUGCACAUAGUAGAUAACCACCAUACUCUGGCAUGGAACAAAAGAGGUCCCCGCGUGCUUCACACAGAGCGCUACAGAGAUGAGCAUUGACGGGAAAAGGGCUGAAGAGACAGGAAGUCGAACGGCAGUGACUUGGCUCUUAUGGAAACCUCACCCCACGAGCUGAACAACCACAGAUAUGCAGAUUCAGGACGACUGAGAGGAAAACAGGUGCGCUUCAUUCUGGAAACUACAGCCCGCAAUCCACUACUGAAUUCUGUGGUCAGGAUGAAGAGGCUCCUUAUCCCGGACCUGCAGAGAAGAUGCUGCUGAAAUGGAGCAUCGCAAAGGGCAGAGAUUGGAGUGUCUUGCACAUAGCAAACACUCAGUAAAUAUGGCCAUUAAGUGUUUACUAUAUUACCAGUAUUUUAAACAUACUUCUCUUGAGUUUUCAGGUAAAAUGUUUAUGAACAUCCUGAGGCACCAGUGUCCCUCCACGUGGCUUUCAAAAUAAUCACAUCAUAGGCCAUUUCCAGUCAGCCUCUCGAUUAGUGAAAUCCCGGGAAUGAAAAUAGAAAUAAAACCGGGAAAUCAUUGUGAAGUCCCAAACUCAUUUAAAACCCGAUUCCUCAAGAUUUAGAAGUUCAUGUUGUCACUGUUGUAUUCCCAACAUUUUCCACAGAAGCUGAACAUCUCAGGUCUGAGAAAGGCAGGAGAAAAUACAGAGCAAAAUCUGCAGGAAAUAAAGGAACGUGAGCCUCCCUUUGGAAAGUGCUACUCCACUGCUCAGUGAACUGUGUGAAGAUGGUGGGUCCUAAGUAUGGAGAAGGACACACAGAAAUACUGCUGUUUAAGCAAGGUAGAUGCUUUCCCAUUUUGCCUGAUUUCCUGACAUAUCACUCCAAAUUCCAUUGACUGGUAACCAGAUCAGUCUACUUACUAAGCACAGAUAUGAUUAAUGAAGGCUUUAGACCCAUUAUUCAAUUUGUUUGUUCCAUGGCAUAUUUUGGUUUCAGAAACUGAAAUCCAAAAAUAACCUACUA